CCCGCUGAACUUAAGCAUAUCAAUAAGCGGAGGAAAAGAAACUAACAAGGAUUCCCCUAGUAACUGCGAGUGAAGCGGGAAAAGCUCAAAUUUAAAAUCUGGCGGCUUCAGCUGUCCGAAUUGUAAUCUAGAGAAGUGUUAUCUGCGCUGGACCAUGUACAAGUCUUCUGGAACGGAGCGUCGCAGAGGGUGAUAAUCCCGUAUCUGACAUGGACUACCAGUGCUUUGUGAUGCGCUCUCGAAGAGUCGAGUUGUUUGGGAAUGCAGCUCUAAAUGGGUGGUAAAUUCCAUCUAAAGCUAAAUAUUGGCGAGAGACCGAUAGCGAACAAGUACCGUGAGGGAAAGAUGAAAAGAACUUUGGAAAGAGAGUUAAACAGUACGUGAAAUUGUUGAAAGGGAAACGCUUGAAGUCAGUCACAUUGGUCAGAGAUCAAUCUUGCUAUUUAGCUUGAUGUAUUUUCUGAUUUAAUGGGUCAGCAUCAAUUUUGACCAGUGGAAAAAGGUUGAAAGAAUGUGACAUCUUUUAGAUGUGUUAUAGAUUUCAAUUGCAUACAUUGGUUAAGAUUGAGGAAUUCAGCAUGCCGCAAGGCCGGAUUUCGAUUACGAUCAUGCUUAGGAUGCUGGCGUAAUGGCUUUAAUCGACCCGUCUUGAAACACGG
RNAcentral lists this ribosomal RNA (659 nucleotides) under uncultured fungus. RNAcentral describes it as "eukaryotic LSU rRNA". It matches the Rfam family "Eukaryotic large subunit ribosomal RNA", at positions 24 to 664 of the family's 3401-position model. Lineage: Eukaryota; Fungi. The record is from RNAcentral.